Molecule: non-coding RNA, 139 nt
Organism: Hordeum vulgare subsp. vulgare (domesticated barley)
Lineage: Eukaryota; Viridiplantae; Streptophyta; Magnoliopsida; Poales; Poaceae
Source: Rfam
AAAAUACCCCCCUCCGUUCCAAAAAAUUUGUCUUAGAUUUGUUUAGAUAUGAAUGUAUAUCUAGUCAAGUUUUAGUAUUUAGAUACAUUCAUUUCUAAACAAAGUUAAGACAAGAAAUUUAGAACGGAGGGAGUACGUC